Molecule: ribosomal RNA, 753 nt
Filed under: uncultured Glomerales
Lineage: Eukaryota; Fungi; Glomeromycota; Glomeromycetes; Glomerales; Glomeraceae
Description: LSU rRNA
Rfam family: Eukaryotic large subunit ribosomal RNA
Source: RNAcentral
GCAUAUCAAUAAGCGGAGGAAAAGAAAAUAACAAUGAUUCCCCUAGUAACGGCGAGUGAAGAGGGAUAAGCUCAAAUUUUAAAUCUGAUCGGUUCUACUUAUCAGAAUUGUAAUUUGAAGAAACGUUUUCUGUCUCUUGAAUUAGCCUAAAUCUUUUGGAACAAGGUAUCAUGGAGGGUGACAAUCCCGUUCAUGGUUAAUUUUAAGAUGCUUUACGAUACGUUUUCAAAGAGUCGAGUUGUUUGGGAUUGCAGCUCAAAAUGGGAGGUAAAUUUCUCCUAAAGCUAAAUAUUGGCGAGAGACCGAUAGCGAACAAGUACCGUGAGGGAAAGAUGAAAAGAACUUUGAAAAGAGAGUUAAACAGUACGUGAAAUUGUUGAAAGGGAAACGAUUGAAGUCAGUCGUACCAACGGGAAAUCAAUUCAUCGAGUGUUGAAUUUGGGUUUUUGAAGAGUUUUAAAACCUUUGGGAUUCAAAUAUUUUCACUUUUUGAACGUAUUUUCUCGUACGGUAGGUUAACAUCGAUUUUGAACAUUAUAAAAUGAUCGGAGGAAUGUAGCUUCGAUCUCGUAUUGAAGUGUUAUAGCCUUUGGUAGAUGUAAUGAUCGAGAUCGAGGAUUGCAACGAAUACCCUUUUGGGCUAUCCGUCUGAUCUCUGAUACGUUGCCUCGGUAACGAAAGCGUGCUUACGGUAUUGAGGUAUAACGGUCAAAAGGUUAGAACGUGAUUACAUUCGUUAAGGAUGUUGACGUA